AUGGACAGAUUUGCACAGUGUUUGCCGUGGGAGAGCUCCUCAUUUACAUCAAUUAUGGAUAGUCAACUUCCAUCCUUGUGGCCUGGCGCUGCAUAUUUCAUGGAGAGGGGGGUAUUUUAUGAGUUAAUGUGUCCAGUUGACAUGCCUCUGAAAGCACUGGCCUGUCCCUUACACCGUGUGCUGGGCUGGGGAGAGCACGCAAACACAAAUCUUGUGAGCCUGUGCGUGUGUGUGUGUGUCGAGGUAACUCUGUGUAAGAGCUGGUGUACAGGGGUAUUGUGAUUACUCAUUGACCCUCACACCCACACUUUCAGUUGGGGGGAAUAAAUGUGGAUGUUACUGGAUGUUACUAAAAUGCAAAAAAAAAAGGUUUGGUUGAUCAGUUCACUGUAUCAUUGUGGAAGCUAAACAUACUAUGUGUUUACAGUGACAUGAGUAUUGUUAGAAGUACUAGUGAAAACAGCACCAUCUGUGGUAUUUGCUAUAAUACUUGUAUCAGUAAUAGUGUGAGAUUGUUGUUGUUGUUGUUGUUGUUGUUGUUAUGGGUGGAUUGAAGUAUCUUCCCAUUCUUAAUCCCAGCACAAGAGUCUCUCAGCACCACGCAGGCUCCCUUAGGUGUUCGGGGCGGGGGCACAAUGCCACUAAAAGAGAGAGAGAGAGAGAGAGUGAGAGAGAAUUGCAUUGUGGUACUCUGAGUGUGACGCUUUGCCUUCACAGACAAAUCGAUUAGAGACAGUUCAGCACCAUGGAUGCUCGAGGCGUUUCACAUAAAGAAAGAAAGGGAGAGGGAGAGGGAAGGCGGGAGGGAGGGAGGCUGCAGAAACUGGCCCAUCCCCGGCUCAUUUUAAGGGGGACGGGAGCGCCGGUAAGAGCAUGCAGACUUGCAAAACUGCUGCUUACACACUUGGACAGUGAUGCAUUGUCUAUUGUUCUGCCUCUAAAUGAACGCUCCUCCGCGAUGUGACAUCAGUGUUAUUCACAAAGACGUACUGCUUCAAUAAGAAACAUGAGUUAGCGUUGCUCAGGUUUCCUUCACGAGAGGGUUUUUUUUUUUUCAAUAGUCGAAGGCAGUUAUGAAAUAUCACGAUGACAGCUACUGACUGAGCACACAUUACGCUUUUGUUACACAAUGUGCUAGGUUAGUAUUAGGUUUCAGCACAGAGCCCGAUCCCCGCUAAUGUCACUUUACAUUAUAACAUUCAAGGCAUCCAAAGGAGCUGAGAUUGGAAGCUGAGCCCUGGAAACAGUAGUUGGCAAAAGGAUCCCUACAUGAGGUCCAUUUAAAAGCUGUUCUAGAUCUUUCGAUUGAAUAACACUUCUUCCUCAGUGGACUGACUGGUAAGGAACAUGUGCUCGGAGACAUGGAAAAUGUGAACAUCUGCAUUUCCAUGACAACUGGGAAACAUGGCCGAGAAACAGCUUCUAAAUGGACCUUGUGAUAAUGUUUUUUCUACUUCUGUUCAAGGUCAAGAAUGAACACUCAGUCUCAACUUGUAAGCAAACACGGACAGAAAAAGAUUUGGGCAUUGUGACACCUGACAAACUCCACCUGCCGAAGAACUCCAGAUCUUAAUUUUGGUGUGUUUUCAGAAAUUAUUGGGUAUUCCCCAAUUUUUGCGUCAACUCACCAACCUAAGCUGAGAAUAUCUAGACAAACUGUGAGAGAUCAUGUCCUUUAACACCCCCAUGCUCAGCAAUAACGUUACAUGAACAGUGCAAAUGGAAAUUCUUAUUUAAUAUUUAAAUUUCGAAUUAGCUUUCUGCUUCAAUGUGGUGAGUCAAUGCACUAUGGUCAUCCUCUAACAAAGGGGGUUGCCUGCAGAGAUGACUGCUUGAUAGUUUGUAUUUCAACAAAAACAAGAGGCUACGGUGGACACAAUUUUAUGAUUGUUUUCCUUAAGUAAGAAAGGAAGUCCCCAAAAUGUGACUGUGUAAACUGAUUUAGGUCCCUACAGCAUGAGUU
Long non-coding RNA from Scophthalmus maximus (turbot), 1963 nucleotides. Lineage: Eukaryota; Metazoa; Chordata; Actinopteri; Pleuronectiformes; Scophthalmidae. The record is from Ensembl.